Drosophila pseudoobscura is the source of this 411-nucleotide long non-coding RNA. RefSeq lists it as uncharacterized. The record is from RefSeq and is a predicted model, not a curated record. NCBI's taxonomy places the organism in Eukaryota, Metazoa, Arthropoda, Insecta, Diptera, Drosophilidae. The transcript is spliced from 2 exons.
AUUUGCGUCAUUUUGCCGAUUUUUUCAAUUUUCUGUCUGGAAGAAUAUACAAACACGAACGAUUAGGCCAUAGUUAAAUAUUAAAUGGUCAAAACUUUAGAGGCAAUCAUUUUAACGAAAUAUGCAUGUAUACGUAUUAUUCACGAGCAGCGGAAAUCAAUACUAUAAAAAUGAAAAUUCUAUUGCGCAUGACUACCGUUCCAAGAGGGUUGCACCGAAGUAAAUCGAAUUCGAAAGUAACCGAAUGAUAUGCCCUUGCUGGGGUUACCAUUUCUUCCGUACAGAUGUUUGUAACGUGCAUCCUUAGAACACAAGGAAUCGGAUUCGAUUCAAUACAUCGUUUUGGUUGGUUGGUUGGUUAAAUCCCUAGUAUACAAAAAUUAUACGAAAUAAAUUCACUUUUGAAGUAAA